AAUGGGUCAGCGACUUAUAUUCUGUAGCAAGGUUAACCGAAUAGGGGAGCCGAAGGGAAACCGAGUCUUAACUGGGCGUUAAGUUGCAGGGUAUAGACCCGAAACCCGGUGAUCUAGCCAUGGGCAGGUUGAAGGUUGGGUAACACUAACUGGAGGACCGAACCGACUAAUGUUGAAAAAUUAGCGGAUGACUUGUGGCUGGGGGUGAAAGGCCAAUCAAACCGGGAGAUAGCUGGUUCUCCCCGAAAGCUAUUUAGGUAGCGCCUCGUGAAUUCAUCUCCGGGGGUAGAGCACUGUUUCGGCAAGGGGGUCAUCCCGACUUACCAACCCGAUGCAAACUGCGAAUACCGGAGAAUGUUAUCACGGGAGACACACGGCGGGUGCUAACGUCCGUCG
Molecule: ribosomal RNA, 396 nt
Filed under: Escherichia coli
Lineage: Bacteria; Pseudomonadati; Pseudomonadota; Gammaproteobacteria; Enterobacterales; Enterobacteriaceae
Description: partial 23S ribosomal RNA
Rfam family: Bacterial large subunit ribosomal RNA
Source: RNAcentral